Molecule: long non-coding RNA, 196 nt
Organism: Lingula anatina
Lineage: Eukaryota; Metazoa; Brachiopoda; Lingulata; Lingulida; Lingulidae
Source: RefSeq, a predicted model, not a curated record
UGAAUACAAAAUGUUUAAGGUUCUAUAGUAUUCAGAAUGGUGCUAUUUUACAAGAGCUUGAUAACACAGAGAUAACCUGUGGGUCUCCUCUGGAUGUGUGGAACAGCAUGGCUAGAAUCCAGAGUGCUGGAUUUUGGUGUAACUCUGGAAUAUAUGGCAUAAAAAUGACUAAAUCCAGCCAGUGGACCAAGGUCAG